RNAcentral lists this ribosomal RNA (253 nucleotides) under uncultured bacterium. RNAcentral's name for it is "partial 16S ribosomal RNA". It matches the Rfam family "Bacterial small subunit ribosomal RNA", at positions 524 to 776 of the family's 1533-position model. The record is from RNAcentral.
UACGGGGGGGGCUAGCGUUGUUCGGAAUUACUGGGCGUAAAGGGCGCGUAGGCGGUCGCGCACGUCCGUUGUGAAAUCGCUCGGCUCAACUGGGCGGGGUCAGCGGAUACGGCGUGGCUGGAGCAAGCUAGGGGGCAAUGGAAUUCCCGGUGUAGUGGUGGUAUGCGUAGAUAUCUGGAGGAAUACCGGUGGCGAAGGCGGCAUCCUGGACCGGCAUUGACGCUGAGGAGCGAAAGCUAGGGGAGCAAACGGG